Molecule: ribosomal RNA, 463 nt
Filed under: uncultured bacterium
Lineage: Bacteria
Description: partial 16S ribosomal RNA
Rfam family: Bacterial small subunit ribosomal RNA
Source: RNAcentral
GACGAACGCUGGCGGCGUGCUUAACACAUGCAAGUCGAACGGAAAGGCCUUUUCGGAGGUACUCGAGUGGCGAACGGGUGAGUAACACGUGGGUGAUCUGCCCUGCACUCUGGGAUAAGCCUGGGAAACUGGGUCUAAUACCGGAUAGGACCGCACUUUAGUGUGUGUGGUGGAAAGUUUUUUCGGUGUAGGAUGAGCCCGCGGCCUAUCAGCUUGUUGGUGGGGUAAUGGCCUACCAAGGCGGCGACGGGUAGCCGGACUGAGAGGUUGGUCGGCCACAUUGGGACUGAGAUACGGCCCAGACUCCUACGGAAGGCAGCAGUGGGGAAUAUUGCACAAUGGGCGCAAGCCUGAUGCAGCGACGCCGCGUGGGGGAUGACGGCCUUCGGGUUGUAAACUCCUUUCGCCAGGGACGAAGCGUUUUGUGACGGUACCUGGAGAAGAAGCACCGGCUAACUACGUG